RNAcentral lists this ribosomal RNA (402 nucleotides) under bacterium. RNAcentral's name for it is "partial 16S ribosomal RNA". It matches the Rfam family "Bacterial small subunit ribosomal RNA", at positions 355 to 776 of the family's 1533-position model. RNAcentral also lists the same sequence under 1 other name. The record is from RNAcentral.
UGGGGAAUUUUGCACAAUGGGGGAAACCCUGAUGCAGCGACGCCGCGUGAUUUAGAAGGCCUUCGGGUUGUAAAAAUCUUUUCUAUGGGAAGAAAAUGACAGUACCAUAGGAAUAAGGACCGGCUAAUUACGUGCCAGCAGCCGCGGAAAUACGUAAGGUCCGAGCGUUGUCCGGAAUCAUUGGGCGUAAAGGGUACGUAGGCGGGUAAGCAAGUUAGAAGUGAAAUCCUAUAGCUCAACUAUAGUAAGCUUUUAAAACUGCUCAUCUUGAGGUAUGGAAGGGAAAGUGGAAUUCCUAGUGUAGCGGUGAAAUGCGCAGAUAUUAGGAGGAAUACCGGUGGCGAAGGCGACUUUCUGGCCAUAACCUGACGCUGAGGUACGAAAGCGUGGGUAGCAAACAGG